ACAGUACAGACUGAGCAGGCGAUGGACCGGAUGCGGUUCGUGGGGCCGGGCCACAAGAUGAGUGGCAACAGAUUGCAUUUUAUGCACAUCUGUGGGACAGU
This 101-nucleotide non-coding RNA is filed under the name uncultured Robinsoniella sp. Its description in RNAcentral is "NiCo riboswitch". It matches the Rfam family "NiCo (Nickel/Cobalt) riboswitch aptamer". The record is from RNAcentral. Lineage: Bacteria; Bacillati; Bacillota; Clostridia; Lachnospirales; Lachnospiraceae.